This 617-nucleotide ribosomal RNA is filed under the name uncultured archaeon. Its description in RNAcentral is "bacterial SSU rRNA". It matches the Rfam family "Archaeal small subunit ribosomal RNA", at positions 1 to 620 of the family's 1478-position model. The record is from RNAcentral.
UCCCGGUUGAUCCUGCCAGAGGUUACUGCUAUCGGUGUUCGACUAAGCCAUGCGAGUCAUAUGUUCUUCGUGAACAUGGCGUACUGCUCAGUAACACGUGGAUAACCUGCCCUUAGGUUUGGCAUAACUCCGGGAAACUGGAGAUAAUUCCGAAUAGGUCAAAUAUGCUGGAAUGCUUUUUGACCAAAAGACCUCGGUUGCCUAAGGAUGGAUCUGCGGUCUAUCAGGUAGUAGUGGGUGUAACGUACCUACUAGCCUACGACGGAUAUGGGUUGUGAGAGCAAGAGCCCAGAGAUGGAUUCUGAGACAUGAAUCCAGGCCCUACGGGGCGCAGCAGGCGCGAAAACUUUACAAUGCGGGAAACCGCGAUAAGGGGACACCGAGUGCCAGCAUUUAUGUUGGCUGUCCACAUGUGUAAACGGCAUGUGUUAGCAAGGGCCGGGCAAGACCGGUGCCAGCCGCCGCGGUAACACCGGCGGCCCGAGUGGUAAUCACUUUUAUUGGGUCUAAAGGGUCCGUAGCCGGUUUGAUCAGUUCUUCGGGAAAUCUGACAGCUCAACUGUUAGGCUUCCGGGGAAUACUGUCAGACUUGGGACCGGGAGAGGUAAGAGGUACUA